AUCCGNAAGCUUUAGUUGCCGAGCAUACUAAAGUUUCCCUGCAGUGGUUUAUACCUCUAAGAUACUUUCCGAACAUUGGUUCGUGAAAGUAUCGUUCACGGGACCGAUGAUCCCGAACGAGGUAUUGACUAGGGCUUACGAUUUCCUGUGGGUAUUUAAAGUACACGUGUACAUGUGAAUUUAUAAAACACGUGUAUUAAUCCGGUUAUUUAAAAACACACGUAUACUUAAUUACACGUCUACCCGUGUACCCGUGUAUUUUAAAUACCCGUAGGAAAUCGUAAGCCCUAGUAUUGACUGGGACCUGCGGGAUUGUCACACCCGAUGCUUUGGUUACUGAGUAUACCAAAGUUUCCCUGCAGGGGCUUACAAAUACAAUAAGCAUUAAAUACCGGAAAAAUAUGAAGGAAUAAAGUAAUUUCAAUUACACUGUAUCCAAAACGUUAAAUGCGGUGUGCUAAACUGUGUUUUUC
Non-coding RNA from Cinara cedri, 473 nucleotides. Lineage: Eukaryota; Metazoa; Arthropoda; Insecta; Hemiptera; Aphididae. The record is from the annotation of a GenBank genome assembly.